AUUGAACGCUGGCGGCAUGCCUUACACAUGCAAGUCGAACGGCAGCGGACCUUCGGGUGCCGGCGAGUGGCGAACGGGUGAGUAAUAUAUCGGAACGUACCUUUCAGUGGGGGAUAACGUAGCGAAAGUUACGCUAAUACCGCAUAUUCUGUGAGCAGGAAAGCAGGGGAUCGCAAGACCUUGCGCUGAUUGAGCGGCCGAUAUCAGAUUAGCUAGUUGGUGAGGUAAAGGCUCACCAAGGCGACGAUCUGUAGCGGGUCUGAGAGGAUGAUCCGCCACACUGGAACUGAGACACGGUCCAGACUCCUACGGGAGGCAGCAGUGGGGAAUUUUGGAUAAUGGGCGCAAGCCUGAUCCAGCCAUGCCGCGUGAGUGAAGAAGGCC
This 384-nucleotide ribosomal RNA is filed under the name uncultured bacterium. RNAcentral's name for it is "bacterial SSU rRNA". It matches the Rfam family "Bacterial small subunit ribosomal RNA", at positions 30 to 416 of the family's 1533-position model. The record is from RNAcentral.